Molecule: long non-coding RNA, 269 nt
Filed under: Mytilus galloprovincialis (Mediterranean mussel)
Lineage: Eukaryota; Metazoa; Mollusca; Bivalvia; Mytilida; Mytilidae
Source: RNAcentral
UGUGCCUGCUUGAAAUUCAGAAAUUUAACAUAAAAAGCAAUCGGGCAAUGAAUUAGUGAUGUACUUCCAAAAGAUGCUUUGAUAAGUUAGAUUUACAAUAGCCUCCACUUCUUCAUAACGUGUGUAUGUGACGUUUGUUAAAUCUAGUUAAGAGAAGAACUCAACUUGUUCGAAUCACUCCUGUAGGGAACAACGUAUUAUGUUUCAACAAAAGAAAUCACUGUAUUACUGAAAAAUUAUUACACUAGGGUUUUUCAUAUCAAAAACUA